This 491-nucleotide ribosomal RNA is filed under the name uncultured bacterium. RNAcentral describes it as "partial 16S ribosomal RNA". It matches the Rfam family "Bacterial small subunit ribosomal RNA", at positions 28 to 507 of the family's 1533-position model. The record is from RNAcentral.
GAUGAACGCUGGCUACAGGCUUAACACAUGCAAGUCGAGGGGAAACGCCGGGGAAGCUUGCUUCCCCGGGCGUCGACCGGCGCACGGGUGAGUAACGCGUAUCCAACCUGCCUCUGACUGAGGGAUAACCCGUCGAAAGUCGGCCUAAUACCUCAUGGCAUCGUCUGCGGGCAUCCAACGACGAUUAAAGAUUUCAUCGGUCAGAGAUGGGGAUGCGUCUGAUUAGCUUGUUGGCGGGGUAACGGCCCACCAAGGCGACGAUCAGUAGGGGUUCUGAGAGGAAGGUCCCCCACAUUGGAACUGAGACACGGGCCAAACUCCUACGGGAGGCAGCAGUGAGGAAUAUUGGUCAAGGAGCGAGAGCCUGAACCAGCCAAGUAGCGUGCAGGAGGACGGCCCUAUGGGUUGUAAACUGCUUUUAUGCGGGGAUAAAGUGAGGGACGUGUCCUUCAUUGCAGGUACCGCAUGAAUAAGAACCGGCUAAUUCCGUG